GCAGCAUGCUUUAACAUGCAAGUCGAACGGCAGCACGGGCUUCGGCCUGGUGGCGAGUGGCGAACGGGUGAGUAAUGCAUCGGAACGUGCCCAUGUCGUGGGGGAUAACGUAGCGAAAGCUACGCUAAUACCGCAUACGCCCUGAGGGGGAAAGCGGGGGAUUCUUCGGAACCUCGCGCGAUUGGAGCGGCCGAUGUCGGAUUAGCUAGUAGGUGAGGUAAAGGCUCACCUAGGCGACGAUCCGUAGCGGGUCUGAGAGGACGAUUCGUAGCGUCGAAAGAUGAUCGGCAACUGAGACACGGCCUCAGACUCCUACGGGAGGCAGCAGUGGGGAAUUUUGGACAAUGGGGGCAACCCUGAUCCAGCCAUGCCGCGUGAGUGAAGAAGGCCUUCGGGUUGUAAAGCUCUUUCGGCCGGGAAGAAAUCGGCGACUCUAACAUAGUCGCUGGAUGACGGUACCGGACUAAGAAGCACCGGCUAACUACGUGCCAGCAGCCGCGGUAAUACGUAGGGUGCGAGCGUUAAUCGGAAUUACUGGGCGUAAAGCGUGCGCAGGCGGUUUUGUAAGACAGAUGUGAAAUCCCCGGGCUUAACCUGGGAACUGCGUUUGUGACUGCAAGGCUAGAGUACGGCAGAGGGGGGUGGAAUUCCACGUGUAGCAGUGAAAUGCGUAGAGAUGUGGAGGAACACCGAUGGCGAAGGCAGCCCCCUGGGCCUGUACUGACGCUCAUGCACGAAAGCGUGGGGAGCAAACAGGAUGAGAUACCCUGGUAGUCCACGCCCUAAACGAUGUCGACUAGUCGUUCGGAGCAGCAAUGCACUGAGUGACGCAGCUAACGCGUGAAGUCGACCGCCUGGGGAGUACGGCCGCAAGGUUAAAACUCAAAGGAAUUGACGGGGACCCGCACAAGCGGUGGGAUGAUGUGGAUUAAUUCGAUGCAACGCGAAAAACCUUACCUACCCUUGACAUGUCUGGGAACCUUGGUGAGAGCCGAGGGUGCCUUCGGGAGCCAGAACACAGGUGCUGCAUGGCUGUCGUCAGCUCGUGUCGUGAGAUGUUGGGUUAAGUCCCGCAACGAGCGCAACCCUUGUCACUAGUUGCCAUCAUUUGGUUGGGCACCUCUAGUGAGACUGCCGGUGACAAACCGGAGGAAGGUGGGGAUGACGUCAAGUCCUCAUGGCCCUUAUGGGUAGGGGCUUCCACACGUCAUACAAUGGAUCGGUACAGAGGGUUGCCAAGCCGCGAGGUGGAGCCAAUCCCUUAAAGCCGAUCGUAGUCCGGAUCGUAGUCUGCAACUCGACUACGUGAAGUCGGAAUCGCUAGUAAUCGCAGAUCAGCAUGCUGCGGUGAAUACGUUCCCGGGUCUUGUACACACCGCCCGUCACACCAUGGGAGUGGGUUUCACCAGAAGUAGGUAGCUUAACCUUCGGGAGGGCGCUUAUCAC
This 1446-nucleotide ribosomal RNA is filed under the name Thauera phenylacetica. RNAcentral describes it as "16S ribosomal RNA". It matches the Rfam family "Bacterial small subunit ribosomal RNA". The record is from RNAcentral. Lineage: Bacteria; Pseudomonadati; Pseudomonadota; Betaproteobacteria; Rhodocyclales; Zoogloeaceae.